This 486-nucleotide ribosomal RNA is filed under the name uncultured bacterium. RNAcentral's name for it is "partial 16S ribosomal RNA". It matches the Rfam family "Bacterial small subunit ribosomal RNA", at positions 28 to 523 of the family's 1533-position model. The record is from RNAcentral.
GAUGAACGCUGGCGGCGUGCCUAACACAUGCAAGUCGAACGGAGUAUUAUGAAGUUUUCGGACGGAUUAAUACUUAGUGGCGGACGGGUGAGUAACGCGUGGGUAACCUGCCUCAUACAGGGGGAUAACAGUUGGAAACGACUGCUAAAACCGCAUAAGCAUACACUAUCGCAUGGUAGAGUGUGAAAAUAUUUAUAGGUAUGAGAUGGACCCGCGUCUGAUUAGCUAGUUGGUAAGGUAACGGCUUACCAAGGCGACGAUCAGUAGCCGGCUUGAGAGAGUGACCGGCCACAUUGGGACUGAGACACGGCCCAAACUCCUACGGGAGGCAGCAGUGGGGAAUAUUGCACGAUGGGCGAAAGCCUGAUGCAGCGACGCCGCGUGAGUGAAGAAGUAUUUCGGUAUGUAAAGCUCUAUCAGCAGGGAAGAAAAUGACGGUACCUGACUAAGAAGCCCCGGCUAACUACGUGCCAGCAGCCGCGGUAA